UAUGGUGGCUAUAGCGAAGGGGUUCCACCUCUUACCAUUCCGAACAGAGUAGUUAAGCCCUUCAGCGCUGAUGGUACUGGGCCUCGAGCUCGGGAGAGUAGGUCGCUGCCAUUU
Molecule: ribosomal RNA, 114 nt
Filed under: Saprospiraceae bacterium
Lineage: Bacteria; Pseudomonadati; Bacteroidota; Saprospiria; Saprospirales; Saprospiraceae
Source: RNAcentral